AUGCACCGAGGAGAGGAUAGUUUAUCCGGUCUUUAUAAAUGCACUCUAGCAUUUGUUGCUUGUGGAUGUGGGUGGAGCUGUGGUGUUGUGCUGCUAGCUAGUCUGCUACUGCUAGUGGCUAGCUACCUCUCGGCCACGGCCAUGGCGGGCGGCAAGAAGCUGCAGGAGAGGGUCGCCCUGGGCAGGAGCGCGUGGAUGCUGGCCGACUUCGUGAUCCUCUUCCUCGUCCUCGCCCUCGUGGCCCGCCGCGCCGCGUCGCUCGGGGAGCGCGGCGGGACGUGGCUGGCAGCGCUCGUCUGCGAGGCGUGGUUCGCCUUCGUGUGGAUCCUCAACAUGAACGGCAAGUGGAGCCCCGUCCGGUUCGACACCUACCCCGAGAACCUCUCCCACAGGAUGGAAGAGCUCCCGGCGGUGGACAUGUUCGUCACGACGGCGGACCCGGCGCUGGAGCCGCCGUUGAUCACGGUGAACACGGUGCUCUCGCUGCUCGCCCUGGACUACCCGCACGUCGGCAAGCUGGCGUGCUACGUCUCCGACGACGGCUGCUCCCCCUUGACGUGCUACUCUCUGCGCGAGGCCGCCAAGUUCGCCAGCCUCUGGGUUCCCUUCUGCAAGAGGCACGACGUUGGUGUGAGGGCCCCUUUCAUGUACUUCUCUUCCGCGCCGGAGGUUGACACCGGUACAGUCGACCACGAGUUCCUGGAAAGCUGGGCACUCAUGAAGAGCGAAUAUGAGAAGCUGGCCAGCCGGAUCGAGAACGCCGACGAGGUCUCCAUUCUGCGUGACGGCGGCGACGAGUUCGCCGAGUUCAUCGACGCCGAGCGCGGGAACCAUCCUACCAUCGUUAAGGUUCUCUGGGAUAACAGCAAGAACAAAACAGGUGAAGGAUUCCCACAUCUGGUGUACCUCUCGAGAGAGAAAAGCCCCAGACAUCGUCACAACUUUAAGGCCGGUGCCAUGAAUGUUCUGACAAGGGUGUCGGCCGUGAUGACCAACGCUCCGAUCAUGCUGAAUGUGGACUGCGACAUGUUUGCCAACAACCCGCAGGUCGCCCUACACGCGAUGUGCCUCCUGUUGGGGUUCGACGACGAGAUCCACAGCGGGUUCGUCCAGGCGCCACAGAAGUUCUACGGUGGCCUCAAGGAUGACCCCUUUGGCAACCAGAUGCAGGUUAUAACCAAGAAAAUUGGAGGUGGGCUCGCCGGGAUCCAAGGCACGUUCUACGGCGGCACGGGCUGUUUUCACCGCAGGAAGGUCAUUUACGGCAUGCCGCCUCCGGACACCGUCAAGCACGAGACAAGAGGUUCACCAUCUUACAAGGAGCUGCAAGCCAAGUUUGGGAGCUCAAAGGAGUUGAUCGAAUCAUCUAGGAACAUCAUCUCAGGAGACCUGCUCGCUAGACCAACCGUAGAUAUAUCAAGUCGGGUCGAAAUGGCAAAACAAGUAGGCGACUGCAACUAUGAGGCUGGCACAUGUUGGGGCCAAGAGAUUGGGUGGGUCUAUGGAUCAAUGACAGAGGACAUUUUGACCGGGCAACGGAUCCAAGCGGCGGGUUGGGAAUCGGCCUUGUUGGACACCGACCCACCGGCAUUCUUGGGAUGUGCUCCGACAGGGGGGCCGGCUAGCUUGACCCAGUUCAAGAGAUGGGCAACAGGGCUUCUGGAGAUACUCAUCAGCCGGAACAGCCCCAUCCUCGGCACCAUCUUCAGGCGCCUCCAACUCCGGCAAUGCCUUGCCUAUCUCAUCGUCAACGCGUGGCCCAUGAGGGCACCUUUCGAGAUGUGUUACGCGCUAUUGGGACCUUUCUGCCUUCUCACAAACCAGUCCUUCUUGCCAACGACAUCUAAUGAAGGUUUUCGCAUCCCAGCGGCUCUAUUCUUGAGUUACCACGUAUACCACCUGAUGGAGUACAAGGAGUGCGGGCUCUCGGUCCGCGCCUGGUGGAACAACCACAGGAUGCAACGCAUCACCUCGGCCUCCGCCUGGCUCCUCGCCUUCCUCACCGUCAUCCUCAAGACGCUAGGGCUCUCCGAGACCGUGUUCGAGGUCACCCGCAAGGAGAGCAGCACGUCCUCCGAUGGUGGCACGGGCACCGACGAGGCCGAUACUGGGCUGUUCACCUUCGACUCGGCGCCCGUUUUCAUCCCGGUGACGGCGCUCUCAAUGCUGAACAUUGUCGCCCUCGCCGUCGCGGCAUGGCGCGCCGUUGUCGGGACGGCGGCGGGCGUUCAUGGUGGCCCGGGAGUCGGAGAGUUCGUGUGCUGUGGCUGGAUGGUGCUGUGCUUCUGGCCGUUCAUGAGAGGGCUUGUCAGCAGUGGAAAGUAUGGGAUCCCGUGGAGUGUCAGGGUGAAGGCUGGGUUGAUUGUGGCUGCGUUCGUGCACCUCUGCACAAGGAACUAA
RNAcentral lists this ribosomal RNA (2400 nucleotides) under Triticum aestivum (bread wheat). Its description in RNAcentral is "partial small subunit ribosomal RNA". Lineage: Eukaryota; Viridiplantae; Streptophyta; Magnoliopsida; Poales; Poaceae. The record is from RNAcentral.